This 271-nucleotide ribosomal RNA is filed under the name Ostreococcus mediterraneus. Its description in RNAcentral is "partial Bacterial large subunit ribosomal RNA". It matches the Rfam family "Bacterial large subunit ribosomal RNA", at positions 2608 to 2891 of the family's 2925-position model. The record is from RNAcentral. Lineage: Eukaryota; Viridiplantae; Chlorophyta; Mamiellophyceae; Mamiellales; Bathycoccaceae.
GGUUCAGAACGUCGUGAGACAGUUCGGUCUCUAUCUGCUGUGGGCGUUAGAAAUUUGCGUGGAUCUGACUCUAGUACGAGAGGACCGAGUUGGACUAACCUCUGGUGUAUCUGUUGUUCCGCCAGGAGCAUUGCAGAGUAGCUACGUUGGGAAGGGAUAAGCGCUGAAAGCAUAUAAGCGCGAAACCCACCACAAGAUGAGAUUUCUUUAAAGGGUCGUGGGAGAUGACCACGUUGAUAGGCUAUAGGUGUAAAGGCAGUAAUGUCAUAGC